GGCGGUCAGUGGCGGACGGGUGAGUAACGCGUAGGAACGUGCCCUGUUGUGGGGGAUAACUAGUCGAAAGAUUAGCUAAUACCGCAUACGACCUGAGGGUGAAAGCGGGGGACCGUAAGGCCUCGCGCAAUAGGAGCGGCCGAUGUCUGAUUAGCUAGUUGGUGGGGUAAAGGCCCACCAAGGCGACGAUCAGUAGCUGGUCUGAGAGGACGAUCAGCCACACUGGGACUGAGACACGGCCCAGACUCCUACGGGAGGCAGCAGUGGGGAAUUUUGGACAAUGGGGGCAACCCUGAUCCAGCAAUGCCGCGUGUGUGAAGAAGGCCUUCGGGUUGUAAAGCACUUUUGUCCGGAAAGAAAUCGCUCUGGCUAAUACCUGGGGUGGAUGACGGUACCGGAAGAAUAAGCACCGGCUAACUACGUGCCAGCAGCCGCGGUAAUACGUAGGGUGCGAGCGUUAAUCGGAAUUACUGGGCGUAAAGCGUGCGCAGGCGGUUUUGUAAGACAGGCGUGAAAUCCCCGGGCUCAACCUGGGAAUUGCGCUUGUGACUGCAAGGCUAGAGUGCGUCAGAGGGGGGUAGAAUUCCACGUGUAGCAGUGAAAUGCGUAGAGAUGUGGAGGAAUACCGAUGGCGAAGGC
Molecule: ribosomal RNA, 639 nt
Filed under: uncultured beta proteobacterium
Lineage: Bacteria; Pseudomonadati; Pseudomonadota; Betaproteobacteria
Description: bacterial SSU rRNA
Rfam family: Bacterial small subunit ribosomal RNA
Source: RNAcentral